UACGGAGGGUGCUAGCGUUGUUCGGAAUCACUGGGCGUAAAGCGCGUGUAGGCGGCCUGUUAAGUCUGAUGUGAAAGCCCGGGGCUCACCCCCGGAAGUGCAUUGGAAACUGCCAGGCUCGAGUCCCGGAGAGGAGGGUGGAAUUCCUGGUGUAGCGGUGAAAUGCGCAGAUAUCAGGAAGAACACCCGUGGCGAAGGCGGCUCUCUGGUACGGAACUGACGCUGAGACGCGAAAGCGUGGGGAGCGAACAGG
This 253-nucleotide ribosomal RNA is filed under the name uncultured bacterium. Its description in RNAcentral is "partial 16S ribosomal RNA". It matches the Rfam family "Bacterial small subunit ribosomal RNA", at positions 524 to 776 of the family's 1533-position model. The record is from RNAcentral.